This 464-nucleotide ribosomal RNA is filed under the name uncultured bacterium. Its description in RNAcentral is "partial 16S ribosomal RNA". It matches the Rfam family "Bacterial small subunit ribosomal RNA", at positions 339 to 795 of the family's 1533-position model. The record is from RNAcentral.
CUACGGGGGGCUGCAGUGGGGAAUAUUGGACAAUGGGCGAAAGCCUGAUCCAGCAAUGCCGCGUGUGUGAAGAAGGCCUGCGGGUUGUAAAGCACUUUCAGAGGGGAGGAAGGUAUUAGUUCUAACAGGACUGAUAAUUGACGUUACCCUCAGAAGAAGCACCGGCAAACUCUGUGCCAGCAGCCGCGGUAAUACAGAGGGUGCGAGCGUUAAUCGGAAUUACUGGGCGUAAAGGGUGCGUAGGUGGCAACGUAAGUUAGGUGUGAAAUCCUCGGGCUUAACCUGAGAAUUGCGCUUAAUACUGCGUCGCUAGAGUACUAUAGAGGGCAGUGGAAUUUCCAGUGUAGCGGUGAAAUGCGUAGAUAUUGGAAGGAACACCAGUGGCGAAGGCGACUGCCUGGAUAGAUACUGACACUGAGGCACGAAAGCGUGGGUAGCAAACAGGAUUAGAUACCCCAGUAGUC